Molecule: long non-coding RNA, 1124 nt
Organism: Eptesicus fuscus (big brown bat)
Lineage: Eukaryota; Metazoa; Chordata; Mammalia; Chiroptera; Vespertilionidae
Exons: 5
Source: RefSeq, a predicted model, not a curated record
AAGAAUAGCCUGUACUUUUUCUUCUGUCAUCUCCUCAGACUCUACUCCUUCUUCAAGUUGAAUGUCCUCAAAUAGAGAUUUGAGUUUUUCUUCUGUCAUCUCCUCAUCAGGACCAGAUUUUCCUUUCUCUUGCUGCUCAGAGCUGACUCUUACUUUUCUAGUAUGUUUCAGUGGCUCUGCUGGUUUAACAUCUUUUGGGACCCCAGCCAUACUUCCAAGGUAUCGAGGAUACUCACUCAGAUAUACAUUCUCCAACUGGCUCUCAUCUACAUCGACUGCUUCGGGCAUUUCUGUUAUAGGCAUUGAGUCUUCAAGUCUGCUGUCUUCUAAGGAAGUGUCUUCUGCAGUUACCACUGGAGGUCCAUCUGCUGAAUGCUCUACAUUUCCCCGGGAAGGCACUAUCCCAUCACUCAGUCUACUGGGGGUUCUAAAGGGAGAUUCUAUGCUAGAGGUAUCACUAAAAUAAUCAUCUUGCUGGAAAGGGGUGGGUGGUGUGUAGUGCAACCCUGUGGGAGUUUCCAGUUCCACUUGAAGGGAAGAAUAACCUAUGGAAGACAGUACAUUUGGACUGACUGGAAUGAAUUUCGAGUACAUCAAACAAAAACACAUGGAAUGACUUAAAUUAUAUCAGAGAGAAAAGUCAACAAUGGUCUGGUCUUGGUGAGGAAAGGAAGUUUUACAGAAUUUCAAUGAAGAGGAGAGACAGGAAAAAAAAAAACACAACGCAACCCAGCACAUUUUCUGAAUUAUUAGUCUACAAAACUAAAGCCUCGUUUUUCCAUCAGUCCAAGCAGACUUCGUUGUAACUGAAGGCGGGCCACCCCGGGAACUCUCGGACAACGACGUGUUUCUGGAGAGAAUUAAAGUGCUGUGUCUCCACUGUCUCCGUGUGACUCGACUGGGGUGACUUUGGUGAUAGUUCGUGCUUUGGAAAUGGCGACUGCUCACAAAGACCAACGGGAACGCUAGAAGACGGCAUUCUCCGCUCAUCGGCCAUUCUGACUGGGAUGUGCGACGCCGCCGCCGCCGAGCUCUCACUUCUCCUCGGAGAAUCACUGCAAAUGCUAGCAUCAACAGCAAGUACAGCAUGACCAAACCUGUAAUGCUACAGAGAAGGCGCAGAU